RNAcentral lists this unclassified non-coding RNA (205 nucleotides) under uncultured Trechisporales. RNAcentral describes it as "sequence contains ITS2". Lineage: Eukaryota; Fungi; Basidiomycota; Agaricomycetes; Trechisporales. The record is from RNAcentral.
AAACAUCAAACCCCACUGGCUUUGCGGUCGGUGCGGUUUGGACUUGGGGGUUCUUUGCUGCCGCUUGCGGUGGCUCCCCUUAAAUGAAUCGGUCGGGCUUUCGUGUGGCUUGUCCCUUGGCGUUGUAUUACCCUCGUCGCUGGACGGCCCGCGUGUUUGCGCCCCUCCUUGACUUGCCUUCGGAGUGGCGGUCAAUUGCUUUGUG